This is a long non-coding RNA of Motacilla alba alba, 5009 nucleotides long. RefSeq lists it as uncharacterized. NCBI's taxonomy places the organism in Eukaryota, Metazoa, Chordata, Aves, Passeriformes, Motacillidae. The record is from RefSeq and is a predicted model, not a curated record. The transcript is spliced from 3 exons.
AAAAAAUGGUAGGUAGAAACAAAGCUAAGGGUGGAAUUGCUCCUCUCCCCAGCUGGCACUUUCCAGCAGGGCACGUUCUUGCAGAUGUCAGACAGAGAGCUACACCAACACAACUUGAUGAAGACUGGGCCUUAAGAACCAGCAUUCAGACUAAAGAAAAAUAAAAUACUGUGACUGUGAGAGUCAAGAUUACAGUCUGAAAUGAUGAAAUAAAUCACAAGGAUAGAGUAAAUCUCCUAUUCAAUGUAUACAAGCAUUUGUAAAGUAGCUCUUUCUCAUCUGUGGAAGCCAACACAGCAAUAGCAAUAUUAAUAAUGUGUUAACAGAGGCAAACAGGUACAAACACAGGUGUGUCAAUAUGUGUGGAGUUCGUUUUCCCUGAUUGCUUCCCUAAGUUUUGUUCCUUUCAUAAAAUUCCAUUAAGGUGUAUAGUAUCUGGUGGAAAGGGAAUAAAGAAGACAGAGCCAAACUCUUCUCAGUGACUCCUAAUGAAAAGGCAAAAAGAAACAAGUAUUGAUGGAAAUACAGGGAAAUACAUUUGGACACAGAGAAUUUUUUUUGGUUUUUUGGGGUUUUUUGGGUUGGUUUUUGUUUUGUUUUUGCGUGAAGGGGUUUGUUUUGUUGUAUUUUUUUUAUUUUAAUGAGGGGGUGAGAGAGCACUGGUACAGAUUGCCCAGGGAGGUUUUGGAGUCUCAAUCCUUAGAGACAGUCAAAAGCCAUCUAAACAUGGUCUUGGGUUACCAGCUUUAGGUGGCCUUGCUCUGAGCAGGUAACUGGAAUAGCUCCAGAGGUUCCUUUUUACCUCAAGCACUCUGUGAAAUUAAAAAUUAUCUGAUUCACAUUGAUAUUUUAGGGAUUCCAUCUCUCAAUUUUAAUUUUCAGGGAUUAAGCAUAAUGACUUUUCAGAUUGUCAAAGAGAAUAGCAUUUAACUCUGGUAUUUAAACCCUGACCCAUGUCUUUUAAGCAUAGCUAUGAACUGUCUACACUAUAAAUAGCUUUGUAUAUCAUAGUACUUCAACACAGUGCCUUUGGGAAAACAAACAGAAAAAAAUGCUGACAUGGUUGUCAAGGUUAAUAGACUAAACAGACCUUUCUUGAUAAACAAGAAUCUUUCAGCUUGUAUCCAACAGUAACAACAACUUUUUUUUUUUUUUUUUUUUUGGGAACUCUAUGGAAAGCAAUUGACUCUCUCUUACCUAAUUGAGAUUCAAAUUCAAAUCCAAGCGAAGAAUGUCAACAGCUUUUAACACCUUUACACAGCUAGCAACAAGAUAUGUUAAGGAAACUUUUGGUCAAAAAACUCUGAAUAAGCUGUUCUCUCUCAGGUAUGGCAUGAAAGAGCAAGAGCUAUUGCAUUUUAAUUACUCUACAUCCAAACUAUCCCAUUCCAUCCCACCCCACACCAGCACUGAAUAAUUUCUUAACAACAUCAUUUAUAUGUGAAAAUUAUGAUAAGCAACUUUUUUUUUUUUUUGCCUAUGAAUUUUAGCUCUCCCAUUGAUUUUCUCCCAUAAGGGUCAUUCUAAUUGUGGGCAACACCCUUCCAGCAGCAUAAACUUAAAUUUUCAGGAGUGUUACUGCCCUGAAAGAGCUACAGAAUGGAUCUGAAGCCAGGCUGCCUUGUUCCUCUGGACAUCAGCACAUUUAGAAGAAUGGGUCUUUUCCAGAUCUUCUCAUUGCCACUGUAACUCUCCGAACACUGUGUGAUGGCAACUGCAGUGUCACAGCAGUUAAGGACAACUCUAACAGGACUCCACAUUCUCAGAAACAUCCAAAUGUCUCAUGAAAAUGAUAGCACUGCCUCACCAAGGAAGACUGAAAGCGUGCUAACACAGAAGAGUUAAAAGCUUGCUCAGACAGUUUCAUGACAGGUUAAGUAAUUCAGCUGGAGUUUCCCAGACUUGUGCUUAAACAUCCCUACUUUUGUGCUGGGGGUAGGCAAGGAGGGGGUUGGCAGGACCAGGACACAAUUUAGACCACUUCUUCCUCUUGAAUGAUACCUUCCUUUCUUUUAAAACUAUCCAUCAAAAGAAAUAGCAUAGUUUGGGGCAAGUUAAAAGAGUUUUGGUUUUGUUUGUUUAAUUUUCAUAUCAGCUGAAGUGAUGGGCAUCAUCCCUGAACAUGGUGCAGAUUCCAAAUUAUCAAGAUACACUGCAUUAACUUUCAGAAGACUUGGUAUUUCUUUCCUGAAUUUAUCUAUUUUACAUCCAACCACAAAAUAAAAAUCCAUCUCCUUCCAUAAAAUUCCAUGCAUCACGUAGGAUGCUUGUAAUUCUCCCUUACAGAUGGUGUACAUCUGAAAGAGGGUUGUUAAGUAAAAUUUUAUUCUGUGAGAUUUAGUUUAGGUAUAUAAUAAACCAGUGUCAACUAAUUCAAGAUGCAAUAAUGAAAACACUUCCUUAAGAUUAAUGUCACAUCUUAAAUCUCAAAACCAAGCUUCAAAUGAAUGAAUAAUAAAAUCUGAAAGUAUGCCUAUGGAAUGCUAUAUAAAUUUUAAACAUGAAAACUGCUUAUCAUUUGCAGAUUGUUAUUGGUUAUUAUGGUUACCAUUCUCUAACACAAUCCAAUCUGCCUGCACUUUUCUAUUUCGGGAUACAGCAGUGAUAACAUUAACAGCAGACUUAACUUCUCAACUUGCAAACAUACAUACAUUAGGGGCACAUGCUAUCUCCUGCUGCACUGAAAGAUAACAUGAGUAUGUUCUCACAGUGUCACAGAAAUAACAAGCUGCUGAUCUCCCUGCAGUCAGAUGUUAAAACAUCUAAUCCAACUCGCAAUGAGUGUCAGGACCACAUCAUGUUUGAAAACAUUUGUAUUACAGAUACAUAAUAAAAAUACAUGUUGCAUUAUAAAUCCUCUACAUCACUGAGAUAUAAAGAGGUGCUAUAAAUGCUAUAAAGUUGCAAAAUCUGCCCAUAAGUGAUUGUUCCCACGCGUGGGCCAGAUUUUUAUUUUUUACAUGUGAUGUAGAGUCAUGUGGAACAUUGUCUUAAAGCCUUGCUGCAGUGAAACACAGAGACCAGGGAGAGAGACAGAAAGAACAAUUCAACACAUUGAACAAUUCAACAUGUUGCUGCUGGUCUAGGAUGGUCACAGAAAUCACCUGCAGCUGAAUGUGCUGCCAAACACUUCUGAAACAGCAGUAAAUUCUGCAAGAGCUUUAAGGAGUUGGAAGAAAAAAAUAAUUCAGAAACGGUAUUCUUAAAAAGUAAUACCUGAGUAUUAAAUAGGAGAUAAUGUUUGCCUUCCUAUAUGUAUUAAUUGCAAGAAGAGAGAUUAUAAUACUUUUGAGCACAAGAAUUUCAAGAAAAGAAACAACCUCCACAGGGAACACAAUAUCCUGAAGCAGAAUAUAUGAAACUUACACAAUGCUGUAGAAACAGCUUGUGCUUGCUAUUUUUCCUUAAAAAUACAUGUAACAAAGGUAACACUUUAUAGUGUUACUCAUACAUUAAUGCAGCAUUAAAUAAACAGGGGUUUUUAAUCUCAGUGAAAAGCUUUCAUCUCUCAUGCUCAGCACUCAUCUGCCUCUGGGGGCACCGAAAUGUUUCAAGUGCCAUGGGCAGCUCCCUCAUGGCCAGAUGCUGAUUGUCCAGAGCUGGAGACUGAGGAAUAACUUUGGCUCAUAGCUGUGCACAGCAGCUAGCCCAGACUAGUGGGAAUGUUACCCUCUAGCCACAUCCGCAUCCUGAAAACUGUCCACCUACACGUUGUCCUCUGGGACAAUUGCUGUGCAGUUCCAUACUCAGGACAUUAACUUAGUAACUGAUAGUUCACAGAGGAGAUGUCUGAGCCCCUGUGCCUUUAAAUGGUUUUGGCUUUUAAAAUGUCCAGCCAUAUCUCAAAAUCACAUGUACAGAAAUGCUUGUAAAACUUCUGCUAUCGAUGCCUCAGAAUUCUGUUCCAAUUUCAGAAAAUAAAAUGCAUCUAACCAGGAGAACCACAACAGCAGGCCACGGGAGUCGUUUUGGCUCACUCUGCCUUUGUUUGUGCAUUUUUGGCACAAGCCAUCACUCCACAAUUCCAUCAAUUUAAAUUAUCGAUCAUCACCAAACACUGGGGUUUCUUUGGCCUCAUUGCUUCUUUAAAUCUCAAUUCCCAUUUCUCAUUUUUUACUGUUUCUGAAACCUCUAAUAUUUUUGAUGUUUCGCACUCUUAAAAUCUGGAUUAAUUAUAUUUAAUUUUUGAUGGACUAGCUUGUGCAAUAUAACAAGCUCCACCAAAAUAACUUCUGGUGAAAUAUGAAAUCUGGAAACCACGUCUUGCAGAAAGGACUAUUUAUCUCUUGGGACCCACUUGAGAGCUCAAAAUAGGAAUUAAGUGGAAUUUAGGCAGCAUACAUGCUGCUGUAAUGGCUCUCUCACCUAUGAGGCUGGGUGUCACCCUGGCACAACAGAAAUAUACUUCAGUUUAAUGAGCAGGGAGCCAUAUGUGUAACUCUGGCCAGGAACUCGCAGUGUUGCAGUAAAAACACGGCCAGAGGAACCAGCAUGUCAGCUAAGCAGAGACAGAAGGUUGCAAUGCAAGAGAUUAAGUAAGUGCAGUAAGUUGCUGCUCACAGAGAAUUAAUGCAAUGUGUUACAACAACAUGAUCAGAACUGCCCUGAUGAGAUGCAUCAUGAAGAAAAAAGCUGUGGAGCAGCUGUUACACAAGACAAUGCCCCUGACUUCUCUCAGCAGAACUCUGGAAAGCUACUGUCAUGCUUAAGUGCUCUGAAUCCCCUGAAUUUUCUGCAGGACACCACUAGAGCCCCAUGCAACCAAAGGAAGUCAAUCCAGCAGCCACAGGAGCUUUCACAAAAGGUUUGCUCUGAAGGAUGGAGACAACCCAGACCUGCCUCUAUUAAUAGAAAAAAAAAAAAAAACUGCCAGCAGAGAGAGCCAAACGUGUCAUAAGAAGUUUGCUGAGGAAGCUUGCUCUAUUACUCAGGAAUGCUAAAAGCUGUCUCCACUAGAAACUAAGGGCUUGAAAACAACCAGAAAUAAAGCAAAUUACAAUGUCAUUUCA